ACUUUUAAUGGACACC
Molecule: transfer RNA, 16 nt
Filed under: Agama weidholzi
Lineage: Eukaryota; Metazoa; Chordata; Lepidosauria; Squamata; Agamidae
Description: partial tRNA-Leu
Source: RNAcentral